CGUGUAGGCGGUUAGGUAGGUCCGUUGUGAAAACUCGAGGCUCAACCUCGAGACGCCGAUGGAAACCAUCUGACUAGAGUCCGGAAGAGGAGAGUGGAAUUCCUGGUGUAGCGGUGAAAUGCGCAGAUAUCAGGAAGAACACCCGUGGCUAAGGCGGCUCUCUAGUACGGUACUGACGCUGAGACGCGAAAGCGUGGGGAGCGAACA
RNAcentral lists this ribosomal RNA (207 nucleotides) under uncultured bacterium. RNAcentral's name for it is "partial 16S ribosomal RNA". It matches the Rfam family "Bacterial small subunit ribosomal RNA", at positions 568 to 774 of the family's 1533-position model. The record is from RNAcentral.